This 292-nucleotide ribosomal RNA is filed under the name uncultured bacterium. Its description in RNAcentral is "partial 16S ribosomal RNA". It matches the Rfam family "Bacterial small subunit ribosomal RNA", at positions 505 to 796 of the family's 1533-position model. The record is from RNAcentral.
GUGUCAGCCGCCGCGGUAAUACAGAGGGUGCAAGCGUUAAUCGGAAUUACUGGGCGUAAAGCGUGCGUAGUCGGUUAUCUAAGUCAGGUGUGAAAUCCCCGGGCUCAACCUGGGAAUUGCAUUUGAUACUGGAUAGCUAGAGUUCGGCAGAGGGAAGUGGAAUUUCUGGUGUAGCGGUGAAAUGCGUAGAUAUCAGAAGGAACAUCAGUGGCGAAAGCGACUUCCUGGACCAGAACUGACGAUCAGGCACGAAAGCGUGGGGAGCAAACAGGAUUAGAUACCCCCGUAGUCC